Molecule: ribosomal RNA, 612 nt
Filed under: uncultured bacterium
Lineage: Bacteria
Description: bacterial SSU rRNA
Rfam family: Bacterial small subunit ribosomal RNA
Source: RNAcentral
CCUACGGGAGGCAGCAGUGAGGAAUAUUGGACAAUGGGCGCAAGCCUGAUCCAGCCAUGCCGCGUGCAGGAAGAAGCAUCUAUGGUGUGUAAACUGCUUUUGUACAGGAAGAAACACUCCCUCGUGAGGGAGCUUGACGGUACUGUAAGAAUAAGGGCCGGCUAACUCCGUGCCAGCAGCCGCGGUAAUACGGAGGGUCCGAGCGUUAUCCGGAAUCAUUGGGUUUAAAGGGUCCGUAGGCGGUUUAAUAAGUCAGUGGUGAAAUCUGGUCGCUCAACGAUCAAACGGCCAUUGAUACUGUUAGACUUGAAUUAUAAGGAAGUAACUAGAAUAUGUAGUGUAGCGGUGAAAUGCUUAGAUAUUACAUGGAAUACCAAUUGCGAAGGCAGGUUACUACUUAUGGAUUGACGCUGAUGGACGAAAGCGUGGGGAGCGAACAGGAUUAGAUACCCUGGUAGUCCACGCCGUAAACGAUGGAUACUAGCUGUUCGGAGCAAUCUGAGUGGCUAAGCGAAAGUGAUAAGUAUCCACCUGGGGAGUAACGUUCGCAAGAAUGAAACUUNAAAGAUUAGUUCGCGNGNGAGAGCGACGACGACGACGACGGAGGAGGAG